AAGUCGUAACAAGGUUUCCGUAGGUGAACCUGCGGAAGGAUCAUUGCCACACCGAUCCAAGAUCGAACACAAUAUGUGCACUGUCGAGCCGUACCGAAAGGUAUUUGGUUCACCCCUAACUAUACCAUGAUAACUUUGGAACUAAGUUUUGUCGAGUUCGUCUUGACUUAACGACUAGAUUAAAUUCUAAAACAACUUUUAACAAUGGAUAUCUAGGCUCUU
RNAcentral lists this unclassified non-coding RNA (222 nucleotides) under fungal sp. RNAcentral's name for it is "partial internal transcribed spacer region". The stretch from base 1 to 46 matches the Rfam family "Eukaryotic small subunit ribosomal RNA", at positions 1786 to 1831 of the family's 1831-position model. The record is from RNAcentral. Lineage: Eukaryota; Fungi.